This 394-nucleotide ribosomal RNA is filed under the name uncultured bacterium. RNAcentral describes it as "partial 16S ribosomal RNA". It matches the Rfam family "Bacterial small subunit ribosomal RNA", at positions 523 to 918 of the family's 1533-position model. The record is from RNAcentral.
AUACGUAGGGAGCGAGCGUUGUCCGGAAUUACUGGGCGUAAAGGGCGCGUAGGCGGCGCUUCAAGUCGUCUGUCAAAUGGGAGGGCUUAACCCUUUUUCGCAGACGAAACUGGAGAGCUUGAGAAGCAGAGAGGCAAACAGAAUUCCUGGUGUAGCGGUGAAAUGCGUAGAUAUCAGGAAGAAUACCAGUGGCGAAGGCGGUUUGCUGGCUGCAUACUGACGCUGAAGCGCGAAAGCCAGGGGAGCGAACGGGAUUAGAUACCCCGGUAGUCCUGGCAGUAAACGAUGUAUGCUGGGUGUGAGACUAGCGAUAGUUUUGUGCCGAAGUUAACGCGAUAAGCAUACCGCCUGGGGAGUACGGUCGCAAGAUUGAAACUCAAAGGAAUUGACGGGG